AGAAGCAGAAGUUGUGUUUUCAGCCUCAGGGAGCUCUAGUGGAGAGACAAGAUUCGUGCAUGAAAUAAUUACGACUGUUGUAGAAAAAAGAAAAGCCUGUAGGUCUCCCUUCCUCCCUCCUUCUCUCUGUCUACCUCAGCAUUUCUGGGGUUCACUCUGCUCUGGGUACUGUGUAAAGGACUCCACAGCCAUCAACUUCCCUUCAUCCUUGCCGUGUCUUUGAAAGAGCUGAGAUUUCUUUACAUCACAGUGGUUCAAGGAGAAAAACACAGCCAGAUCCUUCCUCAUCUCAACAUAAAUUAAACCCAGAGGCAGUCAGCGCCACAGUCCACACUCGUAACCGUUACACUCACCUGGAAAUAAAAGUAUUUUUGUGCGGGGACUGCAAGGACUAAGCCCGGCCGCACUCCGAGUUUCUCCUCCUCACAGUGACUCAUUGCUCAGGUGAGGAAACUGAGGCUCAGAGAGGGUCCGUGGCAUGUCCAAGGUUACUCUGCUGUUAAUUGUUUUCUUGGCACUCUCUCCCUUCUCACCUGUGACUACCUGAGUGUCCCCAGAGGCAAGGAACUAUGUGAGCCACUCCAGUGUUCCCAGCCCCAAGGCCAGGCACAGUGGACAUUUAUUGCUGAAUGAAUGAAUCAAGAGAGAGGAUCAGAAAGCUGCAGAGGAUGAUAGAUCUGCAAAAUUCUCCCUGGGUGAGGCCCAGGCUCAGCUUCCAGAACAGCUCCAUCUGUCUCCCACUCACUGAGAUUGAACUAAUGUCCCACAGUUGGACAGACCUGAAAUUGAGCUCUGUGAUUUUGGAUACCUGCCCCUCUGCUGGAGAUUCUGCAUGUCUGAGGUACCAGCCAUUGCCAGAAACUGGGCUAUGUUCUCUCCUUUCAUUGUGCCAUUUCAUUCUCACCCCAAAAUGAAAACACACAAAAAAA
This 929-nucleotide long non-coding RNA is filed under the name Homo sapiens (human). RNAcentral's name for it is "long intergenic non-protein coding RNA 1141". Lineage: Eukaryota; Metazoa; Chordata; Mammalia; Primates; Hominidae. The record is from RNAcentral.